GCCAUCUGGCCCGGUGUUGGUGCCUGUGUAAACAGGUGAAAAGGGAAUGGUCAGCCUGCGGUGCCUGUCGGCAUUGCGGGUCAAGACAGCCGCCCCCGCGACCGUGAACGGAGAAGGUGCUUCGAUGCCACUGGCCCAAGGGCCGGGAAGGCGGAGCACCGCAGGGCCAUGUGCCCGGGAUGCCGUGAGCCGGGAGACCUGCCAGCCCGUAUAUUGACCGA
Molecule: non-coding RNA, 221 nt
Filed under: Pseudooceanicola marinus
Lineage: Bacteria; Pseudomonadati; Pseudomonadota; Alphaproteobacteria; Rhodobacterales; Paracoccaceae
Source: RNAcentral